This 401-nucleotide ribosomal RNA is filed under the name uncultured bacterium. RNAcentral describes it as "bacterial SSU rRNA". It matches the Rfam family "Bacterial small subunit ribosomal RNA", at positions 356 to 773 of the family's 1533-position model. The record is from RNAcentral.
GAGGAAUAUUGCGCAAUGGGCGAAAGCCUGACGCAGCAACGCCGCGUGAAGGACGAAGGCCUUCGGGUCGUAAACUUCUUUUCUGAGGGAAGAGCAAGGACGGUACCUCAGGAAUAAGUCUCGGCUAACUACGUGCCAGCAGCCGCGGUAAAACGUAGGAGGCGAGCGUUAUCCGGAUUUACUGGGCGUAAAGCGCACGCAGGUGGCUUCGUAAGUCGGACAUGAAAGCUCCUGGGUUAACUGGGAGAGGUUGUUCGAUACUGCGGGGCUUGAGGUUGGGAGAGGGACGUGGAAUUCCCGGUGUAGUGGUGGAAUGCGUAGAUAUCGGGAGGAACACCAGUGGCGCAAGCGGCGUCCUGGCCCACACCUGACGCUGAGGUGCGAAAGCGUGGGUAGCAAAC